Molecule: transfer RNA, 70 nt
Filed under: Dipodomys ordii (Ord's kangaroo rat)
Lineage: Eukaryota; Metazoa; Chordata; Mammalia; Rodentia; Heteromyidae
Rfam family: tRNA
About the family: Transfer RNA (tRNA) molecules are approximately 80 nucleotides in length.
Source: Rfam by way of RNAcentral
GGGAAGGUGGCUCAGUGGUAGAGUGCUUGCCUUGCAGGCAUACGGCUCUGGGUUCAAUUCCUUGGCCCCA